CCUACGGGUGGCAGCAGUGAGGAAUAUUGGUCAAUGGACGAGAGUCUGAACCAGCCAAGUAGCGUGAAGGAUGACUGCACUGUGUGUUGUAAACUUCUUUUAUAUGGGAAUAAAAUGUUCCACGUGUGGGAUUUUGUGUGUACCUUAUGAAUAAGGAUCGGCUAACUCCGUGCCAGCAGCCGCGGUAAUACGGAGGAUCCGAGCGUUAUCCGGAUUUAUUGGGUUUAAAGGGAGCGUAGGUGGAUUGUUAAGUCAGUGGGUAAAGUUUGGGGCUCAACCGGAAAAUUGCAGUUGAAACUGGCAGUCGUGAGUACAGUAGAGGUGGGCGGAAUUCGUGGUGUAGCGGUGAAAUGCUUAGAUAGGGCGCAGAACUCCGAUUGCGAAGGCAGCAUACCGGCGGCGAUCUGACGCUGAGGCACGAAAGCGUGGGUAUCGAACAGGAUUAGAUACCCUAGUAGUC
RNAcentral lists this ribosomal RNA (460 nucleotides) under uncultured bacterium. RNAcentral describes it as "partial 16S ribosomal RNA". It matches the Rfam family "Bacterial small subunit ribosomal RNA", at positions 338 to 795 of the family's 1533-position model. The record is from RNAcentral.